UAUUGCUCUCUCUCAUUCUCUCUACCCAACCCAGAAAAACAUCCUUCGAUUCAGUUUCGUUUUCUUUUCUUGAUUUUUCCUUGUAGGUCUCUGUGUUCUUCCAACCUAGAAGAUAUCGGUUUUCAUUCUCAACUCGUUUUCUGUUUUAUCUUCUUUUUCUUCUAUGUGAUUUGAGAGGCAAGAUGAAUGUUUAGUGAUCGAGAGCAAAAGGAAUUGAUCGAAGAAUAGUUGUUGGCAGUGAUACUGAUUCGAGUGGUGGAUCCAGAAUCCGCUAAAAAGUUUUGCAGAUCUAAUUGAUUAUGACGUCGAGCUAUCUUACCUUCUUCAGUCACAUCCGAAUUAUUUGUUACCAAAAUUUGACGAAGGCGCUUGUCAAGCUCAGGGUUAUUUUGGAUGUUGAAAGACAAGGAAAUUGUAAGGAUUGGUUCAUGUUCAGAUUUAUAUUGAUGGUCAUAUUUUGGAGAAUCCAGAGGCUUGUCAAAGUAUUGGAAAAAUUAGAGUGAAACACAGGGGAAAGCUUCACACUCUCUAAGGUCUUUAGAAAACUUGGAUGAUGCAUCAAAGUUUUUGAAUGACAAAGUUACAAAAGUUGUUGUUGUUACAGUACCUGCCUACUUCAAUGACUCUCAAAGGACAGCAACAAAGGAUGCUGGAAGAAUUGUUGGUUUAGAGGUUCUUCGUAUCAUCAACGAGCCAACUUCUGCUUCAUUGGCCUAUGGGUUUGAGAAGAAAAACAAUGAAACAAUUCUAGUGUUCGAUCUUGGUGGUGGUACCUUUGAUGUUUCAGAUACUUCAUUCGAAUUUUGAAGUUUAUUUUUGUGCAAUUCAUUGUGUCAUAUGAGUGCAUGUAUUACCAAAUAUUGUUUUAGUUGUAGUCUUUUCAGUUUUCAGGCUUUUUGAAGAUGCCUAAUUUAGAAACAGGCUAGUUAGAUGUUAAAAUGGACACUUUGAUGAGCAGUUAUCUGUGGUUUAAGUGUAUUGAUGCUUUUGAGGUGUUGCUGAAUGUUCAAAGGAUUGAGAGUCAGACUCCAAGUUUUUAUUGAGCAUCAGUGUUUUAAACAAGCUUAUAUUGAAUACGCUUCUCUGCCUUUGUUGUAGUUCUCGAAGUUGGUGGUGGAGUAUUUGAGGUGUUAUCUACCUCUGGAGAUACUCGUUUAGGAGGUGAUAACUUCGACAAGGUUGGUG
Long non-coding RNA from Papaver somniferum (opium poppy), 1185 nucleotides. RefSeq lists it as uncharacterized. The transcript has 5 exons. Lineage: Eukaryota; Viridiplantae; Streptophyta; Magnoliopsida; Ranunculales; Papaveraceae. The record is from RefSeq and is a predicted model, not a curated record.